This 301-nucleotide ribosomal RNA is filed under the name uncultured bacterium. Its description in RNAcentral is "partial 16S ribosomal RNA". It matches the Rfam family "Bacterial small subunit ribosomal RNA", at positions 509 to 807 of the family's 1533-position model. The record is from RNAcentral.
CAGUCGCCACGGGAAUACGGAGGGAGCUAGCGUUGUUCGGAAUUACUGGGCGUAAAGCGCACGUAGGCGGCUUUGUAAGUUAGAGGUGAAAGCCUGGAGCUCAACUCCAGAACUGCCUUUAAGACUGCAUCGCUUGAAUCCAGGAGAGGUGAGUGGAAUUCCGAGUGUAGAGGUGAAAUUCGUAGAUAUUCGGAAGAACACCAGUGGCGAAGGCGGCUCACUGGACUGGUAUUGACGCUGAGGUGCGAAAGCGUGGGGAGCAAACAGGAUUAGAUACCCCAGUAGUCCCUGUCUCUUAUAC